AUUGAACGCUGGCGGCAUGCCUUACACAUGCAAGUCGAACGCGAAAGGGAGCAAUCCUGAGUAGAGUGGCGAACGGGUGAGUAAUGCAUCGGAACGUGUCCCGUAGUGGGGGAUAACCCAUCGAAAGGUGGGCUAAUACCGCAUACGACCUGAGGGAGAAAGCCGGGGAUCGCAAGACCUGGCGCUAUGGGAGCGGCCGAUGUCCGAUUAGCUAGUUGGUGAGGUAAAAGCUCACCAAGGCGACGAUCGGUAGCUGGUCUGAGAGGAUGAUCAGCCACACUGGGACUGAGACACGGCCCAGACUCCUACGGGAGGCAGCAGUGGGGAAUUUUGGACAAUGGGGGAAACCCUGAUCCAGCCAUGCCGCGUGAGUGAAGAAGGCCUUCGGGUUGUAAAGCUCUUUCGGCCGGAACGAAAUCGCAUUCUUUAACAGAGGGUGUGGAUGACGGUACCGGAAGAAGAAGCACCGGCUAACUACGUGCCAGCAGCCGCGGUAAUACGUAGGGUGCGAGCGUUAAUCGGAAUUACUGGGCGUAAAGCGUGCGCAGGCGGUUACAUAAGCCAGAUGUGAAAUCCCCGGGCUUAACCUGGGAACUGCAUUUGGGACUGUGUGGCUUGAGUAUGGCAGAGGGAGGUGGAAUUCCACGUGUAGCAGUGAAAUGCGUAGAGAUGUGGAGGAACACCGAUGGCGAAGGCAGCCUCCUGGGGCCAAUAC
RNAcentral lists this ribosomal RNA (715 nucleotides) under uncultured bacterium. RNAcentral's name for it is "bacterial SSU rRNA". It matches the Rfam family "Bacterial small subunit ribosomal RNA", at positions 28 to 740 of the family's 1533-position model. The record is from RNAcentral.